This 253-nucleotide ribosomal RNA is filed under the name uncultured bacterium. RNAcentral's name for it is "partial 16S ribosomal RNA". It matches the Rfam family "Bacterial small subunit ribosomal RNA", at positions 524 to 776 of the family's 1533-position model. The record is from RNAcentral.
UACGUAGGGUGCGAGCGUUAAUCGGAAUUACUGGGCGUAAAGCGUGCGAAGGCGGUUUUCCAAGUACGUUGUGAAAGCCCCGGGCUCAACCUGGGAAUGGCAGUGGAAACUAGGGGACUGGAAUCUGGCAGAGGGGGGUGGAAUGCCGCGUGUAGCAGUGAAAUGCGUAGAGAUGCGGCGGAACACCGAUGGCGAAGGCAGCCCCCUGGGCUGAGAUUGACGCUCAGGCACGAAAGCGUGGGGAGCAAACAGG